RNAcentral lists this ribosomal RNA (368 nucleotides) under uncultured organism. Its description in RNAcentral is "bacterial SSU rRNA". It matches the Rfam family "Bacterial small subunit ribosomal RNA", at positions 526 to 896 of the family's 1533-position model. The record is from RNAcentral.
CGGAGGGUGCAAGCGUUAUCGGAUUCACUGGGUUUAAAGGGUGCGUAGGUGGGUCUGUAAGUCAGUGGUGAAAUCCCCGAGCUUAACUUGGGAACUGCCGUUGAUACUAUAGAUCUUGAAUAUCGUGGAGGUAAGCGGAAUAUGUCAUGUAGCGGUGAAAUGCUUAGAUAUGACAUAGAACACCAAUUGCGAAGGCAGCUUACUACACGAUCAUUGACACUGAGGCACGAAAGCGUGGGGACGCAAACAGGAUUAGAUACCCUGGUAGUCCACGCCCUAAACUAUGGAUACUCGACAUCAGCGAUACACAGUUGGUGUCUGAGCGAAAGCAUUAAGUAUCCCACCUGGGAAGUACGAUCGCAAGAUUG